RNAcentral lists this ribosomal RNA (281 nucleotides) under Escherichia coli. RNAcentral describes it as "partial 16S ribosomal RNA". It matches the Rfam family "Bacterial small subunit ribosomal RNA", at positions 1 to 276 of the family's 1533-position model. The record is from RNAcentral. Lineage: Bacteria; Pseudomonadati; Pseudomonadota; Gammaproteobacteria; Enterobacterales; Enterobacteriaceae.
UUAAAUUGAAGAGUUUGAUCAUGGCUCAGAUUGAACGCUGGCGGCAGGCCUAACACAUGCAAGUCGAACGGUAACAGAAAGCAGCUUGCUGCUUUGCUGACGAGUGGCGGACGGGUGAGUAAUGUCUGGGAAACUGCCUGAUGGAGGGGGAUAACUACUGGAAACGGUAGCUAAUACCGCAUAACGUCGCAAGACCAAAGAGGGGGACCUUCGGGCCUCUUGCCAUCGGAUGUGCCCAGAUGGGAUUAGCUUGUUGGUGGGGUAACGGCUCACCAAGGCGA